ACAAUGGGUAGUUCAGUUAAUAGAGCAUCAUACUUUUAUUCUGAAGGGCCCAGGGUUCAAGUUCCUGCUCAGGUG
This is a non-coding RNA of Ataeniobius toweri, 75 nucleotides long. Lineage: Eukaryota; Metazoa; Chordata; Actinopteri; Cyprinodontiformes; Goodeidae. The record is from the annotation of a GenBank genome assembly.